This 416-nucleotide ribosomal RNA is filed under the name Salmonella enterica subsp. enterica serovar Amsterdam. RNAcentral describes it as "partial 23S ribosomal RNA". It matches the Rfam family "Bacterial large subunit ribosomal RNA", at positions 199 to 613 of the family's 2925-position model. The record is from RNAcentral. Lineage: Bacteria; Pseudomonadati; Pseudomonadota; Gammaproteobacteria; Enterobacterales; Enterobacteriaceae.
CAUCUAAGUACCCCGAGGAAAAGAAAUCAACCGAGAUUCCCCCAGUAGCGGCGAGCGAACGGGGAGGAGCCCAGAGACUGAAUCAGCAUGUGUGUUAGUGGAAGCGUCUGGAAAGGCGCGCGAUACAGGGUGACAGCCCCGUACACAAAAGCGCAUGUGCUGUGAGCUCGAUGAGUAGGGCGGGACACGUGGUAUCCUGUCUGAAUAUGGGGGGACCAUCCUCCAAGGCUAAAUACUCCUGACUGACCGAUAGUGAACCAGUACCGUGAGGGAAAGGCGAAAAGAACCCCGGCGAGGGGAGUGAAAAAGAACCUGAAACCGUGUACGUACAAGCAGUGGGAGCCCCACCACCAAAGCAUUCUCUGGUGUUGAAGGCCCUGCAAAGCAGCAUCGCGGUGGCGGAGCGUCGUUUGCGA